This 513-nucleotide ribosomal RNA is filed under the name uncultured bacterium. RNAcentral's name for it is "partial 16S ribosomal RNA". It matches the Rfam family "Bacterial small subunit ribosomal RNA", at positions 28 to 523 of the family's 1533-position model. The record is from RNAcentral.
GAUGAACGCUGGCGGCGUGCCUAAUACAUGCAAGUCGAACGCGCAGCGAGAGGUGCUUGCACCUUUCAAGCGAGUGGCGAACGGGUGAGUAACACGUGGAUAACCUGCCUCAAGGCUGGGGAUAACAUUUGGAAACAGAUGCUAAUACCGAAUAAAACUUAGUAUCGCAUGAUAUCAAGUUAAAAGGCGCUACGGCGUCACCUAGAGAUGGAUCCGCGGUGCAUUAGUUAGUUGGUGGGGUAAAGGCUUACCAAGACGAUGAUGCAUAGCCGAGUUGAGAGACUGAUCGGCCACAUUGGGACUGAGACACGGCCCAAACUCCUACGGGAGGCUGCAGUAGGGAAUCUUCCACAAUGGGCGCAAGCCUGAUGGAGCAACGCCGCGUGUGUGAUGAAGGCUUUCGGGUCGUAAAGCACUGUUGUAUGGGAAGAAAUGCUAAAAUAGGGAAUGAUUUUAGUUUGACGGUACCAUACCAGAAAGGGACGGCUAAAUACGUGCCAGCCGCCGCCGUAA